GACGAACGCUGGCGGCGUGCUUAACACAUGCAAGUCGAACGUGAUUUUUGUGGAAAUUCCUUCGGGAAUGGAAGUGAAAUGAAAGUGGCGAACGGGUGAGUAACACGUGAGCAACCUACCUUACACAGGGGGAUAGCCGUUGGAAACGACGAUUAAUACCGCAUGAGACCACAGAAUCGCAUGAUAUAGGGGUCAAAGAUUUAUCGGUGUAAGAAGGGCUCGCGUCUGAUUAGCUAGUUGGAAGGGUAAAGGCCUACCAAGGCAACGAUACAUAGCCGACCUGAGAGGGUGAUCGGCCACACUGGGACUGAGACACGGCCCAGACUCCUACGGGAGGCAGCAGUAGGGAAUCUUCGGCAAUGGACGGAAGUCUGACCGAGCAACGCCGCGUGAGUGAAGAAGGUUUUCGGAUCGUAAAGCUCUGUUGUAAGAGAAGAACGAGUGUGAGAGUGGAAAGUUCACACUGUGACGGUAUCUUACCAGAAAGGGACGGCUAACUACGUGCCAGCAGCCGCGGUAAUACGUAGGUCCCGAGCGUUGUCCGGAUUUAUUGGGCGUAAAGCGAGCGCAGGCGGUUAGAUAAGUCUGAAGUUAAAGGCUGUGGCUUAACCAUAGUACGCUUUGGAAACUGUUUAACUUGAGUGCAAGAGGGGAGAGUGGAAUUCCAUGUGUAGCGGUGAAAUGCGUAGAUAUAUGGAGGAACACCGGUGGCGAAAGCGGCUCUCUGGCUUGUAACUGACGCUGAGGCUCGAAAGCGUGGGGAGCAAACAGG
This 772-nucleotide ribosomal RNA is filed under the name uncultured Capnocytophaga sp. RNAcentral's name for it is "bacterial SSU rRNA". It matches the Rfam family "Bacterial small subunit ribosomal RNA", at positions 28 to 776 of the family's 1533-position model. The record is from RNAcentral. Lineage: Bacteria; Pseudomonadati; Bacteroidota; Flavobacteriia; Flavobacteriales; Flavobacteriaceae.